UACGUAGGGGGCAAGCGUUGUCCGGAAUUAUUGGGCGUAAAGAGCGUGUAGGCGGCCAGGUAGGUCUGCUGUGAAAACUCGAGGCUCAACCUCGAGACGUCGGCGGAAACCAUCUGGCUAGAGUCCGGAAGAGGAGAGUGGAAUUCCUGGUGUAGCGGUGAAAUGCGCAGAUAUCAGGAAGAACACCCGUGGCGAAGGCGGCUCUCUGGGACGGUACUGGCGCUGAGACGCGAAAGCGUGGGGAGCGAACAGG
This 253-nucleotide ribosomal RNA is filed under the name uncultured bacterium. Its description in RNAcentral is "partial 16S ribosomal RNA". It matches the Rfam family "Bacterial small subunit ribosomal RNA", at positions 524 to 776 of the family's 1533-position model. The record is from RNAcentral.